AGAGAACUUAGAAUUAGUUGCAGAGGUUGAAAAGGUCAGCAAUGGAGGAGAACUUAGAAGAGAUCAUUAUGAACGUGCUAUUCCUGUCCUCUGAUCACACACUGAGAAGCCCUUGUGUCAACAGAACAAUAAGGGGUAGAGGUGGGGUUAUCUCUGAAACAGUCACAAAAUAUCCCAUUUUUUAAAAAGAAUCAACAUUUGGGAUCUACCACAUAAAGGAAGCACUAACUUUAGAUUCCAGUGUGGUUCAUCAACAGAACCUACUCCUUAUCCUCUGUUCCAGUUACAAUUGCUGCAUAACAGAUUAUUCCAAUCAGAGAGGUUUAAAACAACCAUUUUAUUAUCUUCACAGAUUCCGAAGAACAGAAAUUCAGAAAAGGAACAGUGGGGCUGGCUUAUUUCUGUUCCAUGAUAUCUGCGAACUCAGCUGGAAGGACUGGAAAGUUAGGGUUUGACUCCCUGGAUGAGGAAUGGAGUCAACUAAGGCUCAUUUACCCACAUAUCUGGAACCUCUGCAGAGAUGACUCAAAGACUAGGAUUACUAAAUGGGCCUACAGACAUGCACAUGGCCUCUCCUUGUGACUUGGCUUCCACAUGGCCCAGGGACGUCAGGGGAGGCAGAGGCCAUAAGUGGAAGCUUAUGUUUCCAAGCAUGAGUGUUCUGGUAAGCAAGGUGGAAGCUGCAUGGCCUUUUAUGACCCAGCCUCAGAGUCACACAGAUCACUUCUGCCAGACUUCAUUGGUUGAAAUUAUGACUCUAUCUGUUUAUGGGAAAGUGGCAAGAUCACAUUGUAGAAAAGCUUGUGGAAUGGGAGACACGGGCCACCUUUGGAAAAUACAAUCUUCCAGAUUUCCCUUCCUCCCCCUAAGUCUGGAGGAGCCAAAAGAGCUGUUAAUAGGGGAAGGAGGGAAAAAAAUCUCAACACGUCCUCUUGGCCUUCCCAUUUCAAGCUUCCCAGCCUAAAAAGGGGGUAGGAGAAAGGAAGAAGAUUUAAAUUCAAUGCAGUUUGAAGUUCGAGAUAUUAUACCUGUUGGAUUAGACAUCUUGAAACUUGAAAACAGAGAUAGUUUAUUACCUGAGAGUGAGAAGACAAGCUGUAAGAACUGACUGAAGUUUCAUCCAGGGAAGGGGUUGGCUGUGUAUGUGCUUCAGAGUGGAGGCAUAAAGUUGUUUUCCACCUGAACCCUACUAGGCUUAAUUCACUCAACGUGGCUGUAGGAGGCCUGCACAUGCCUUACAAUAUGCCGUUUGUCUGCA
Molecule: long non-coding RNA, 1258 nt
Filed under: Equus asinus (donkey)
Lineage: Eukaryota; Metazoa; Chordata; Mammalia; Perissodactyla; Equidae
Description: lncRNA (ENSEASG00005037921.1)
Source: RNAcentral